AAGCGACCAAGCGUACACGGUGGAUGCCCUGGCAGUCAGAGGCGAUGAAGGACGUGCUAAUCUGCGAAAAGCGCCGGUAAGGUGAUAUGAACCGUUAUAACCGGCGAUGUCCGAAUGGGGAAACCCAGUGUGACUCGUCACACUAUCAUUAACUGAAUCCAUAGGUUAAUGAGGCGAACCGGGGGAACUGAAACAUCUAAGUACCCCGAGGAAAAGAAAUCAACCGAGAUUCCCCCAGUAGCGGCGAGCGAACGGGGAGGAGCCCAGAGCCUGAAUCAGCAUGUGUGUUAGUGGAAGCGUCUGGAAAGGCGCGCGAUACAGGGUGAGAGCCCCGUACACAAAAGCGCAUAUGCUGUGAGCUCGAUGAGUAGGGCGGGACACGUGGUAUCCUGUCUGAAUAUGGGGGGACCAUCCUCCAAGGCUAAAUACUCCUGACUGACCGAUAGUGAACCAGUACCGUGAGGGAAAGGCGAAAAGAACCCCGGCGAGGGGAGUGAAACAGAACCUGAAACCGUGUACGUACAAGCAGUGGGAGCCUCUCUUUAUGGGGGGUGACUGCGUACCUUUUGUAUAAUGGGUCAGCGACUUAUAUUCUGUAGCAAGGUUAACCGCAUAGGGGAGCCGAAGGGAAACCGAGUCUUAAUUGGGCGUUAAGUUGCAGGGUAUAGACCCGAAACCCGGUGAUCUAGCCAUGGGCAGGUUGAAGGUUGGGUAACACUAACUGGAGGACCGAACCGACUAAUGUUGAAAAAUUAGCGGAUGACCUGUGGCUGGGGGUGAAAGGCCAAUCAAACCGGGAGAUAGCUGGUUCUCCCCGAAAGCUAUUUAGGUAGCGCCUCGUGAACUCAUCUCCGGGGGUAGAGCACUGUUUCGGCUAGGGGGCCAUCCCGGCUUACCAACCCGAUGCAAACUGCGAAUACCGGAGAAUGUUAUCACGGGAGACACACGGCGGGUGCUAACGUCCGUCGUGAAGAGGGAAACAACCCAGACCGCCAGCUAAGGUCCCAAAGUCAUGGUUAAGUGGGAAACGAUGUGGGAAGGCCCAGACAGCCAGGAUGUUGGCUUAGAAGCAGCCAUCAUUUAAAGAAAGCGUAAUAGCUCACUGGUCGAGUCGGCCUGCGCGGAAGAUGUAACGGGGCUAAACCAUGCACCGAAGCUGCGGCAGCGACACUUUAGUGUUGUUGGGUAGGGGAGCGUUCUGUAAGCCGUUGAAGGUGUCCUGUGAGGGGUGCUGGAGGUAUCAGAAGUGCGAAUGCUGACAUAAGUAACGAUAAAGCGGGUGAAAAGCCCGCUCGCCGGAAGACCAAGGGUUCCUGUCCAACGUUAAUCGGGGCAGGGUGAGUCGACCCCUAAGGCGAGGCCGAAAGGCGUAGUCGAUGGGAAACGGGUUAAUAUUCCCGUACUUGGUGUUACUGCGAAGGGGGGACGGAGAAGGCUAUGUUGGCCGGGCGACGGUAGUCCCGGUUUAAGCGUGUAGGUGUGUGUUCCAGGCAAAUCCGGUUCACUUUAACACUGAGGCGUGAUGACGAGGCACCACGGUGCUGAAGCAACAAAUGCCCUGCUUCCAGGAAAAGCCUCUAAGCAUCAGGUAACAUCAAAUCGUACCCCAAACCGACACAGGUGGUCAGGUAGAGAAUACCAAGGCGCUUGAGAGAACUCGGGUGAAGGAACUAGGCAAAAUGGUGCCGUAACUUCGGGAGAAGGCACGCUGACACGUAGGUGAAGUGAUUUACUCAUGGAGCUGAAGUCAGUCGAAGAUACCAGCUGGCUGCAACUGUUUAUUAAAAACACAGCACUGUGCAAACACGAAAGUGGACGUAUACGGUGUGACGCCUGCCCGGUGCCGGAAGGUUAAUUGAUGGGGUCAGCGCAAGCGAAGCUCCUGAUCGAAGCCCCGGUAAACGGCGGCCGUAACUAUAACGGUCCUAAGGUAGCGAAAUUCCUUGUCGGGUAAGUUCCGACCUGCACGAAUGGCGUAAUGAUGGCCAGGCUGUCUCCACCCGAGACUCAGUGAAAUUGAACUCGCUGUGAAGAUGCAGUGUACCCGCGGCAAGACGGAAAGACCCCGUGAACCUUUACUAUAGCUUGACACUGAACAUUGAGCCUUGAUGUGUAGGAUAGGUGGGAGGCUUUGAAGCGUGGACGCCAGUCUGCGUGGAGCCGACCUUGAAAUACCACCCUUUAAUGUUUGAUGUUCUAACGUGGACCCGUAAUCCGGGUUGCGGACAGUGUCUGGUGGGUAGUUUGACUGGGGCGGUCUCCUCCUAAAGAGUAACGGAGGAGCACGAAGGUUGGCUAAUCCUGGUCGGACAUCAGGAGGUUAGUGCAAUGGCAUAAGCCAGCUUGACUGCGAGCGUGACGGCGCGAGCAGGUGCGAAAGCAGGUCAUAGUGAUCCGGUGGUUCUGAAUGGAAGGGCCAUCGCUCAACGGAUAAAAGGUACUCCGGGGAUAACAGGCUGAUACCGCCCAAGAGUUCAUAUCGACGGCGGUGUUUGGCACCUCGAUGUCGGCUCAUCACAUCCUGGGGCUGAAGUAGGUCCCAAGGGUAUGGCUGUUCGCCAUUUAAAGUGGUACGCGAGCUGGGUUUAGAACGUCGUGAGACAGUUCGGUCCCUAUCUGCCGUGGGCGCUGGAGAAUUGAGGGGGGCUGCUCCUAGUACGAGAGGACCGGAGUGGACGCAUCACUGGUGUUCGGGUUGUCAUGCCAAUGGCACUGCCCGGUAGCUAAAUGCGGAAAAGAUAAGUGCUGAAAGCAUCUAAGCACGAAACUUGCCCCGAGAUGAGUUCUCCCUGAGACUUUGAGUCUCCUGAAGGAACGUUAAAGACGAUGACGUUGAUAGGCCGGGUGUGUAAGCGCAGCGAUGCGUUGAGCUAACCGGUACUAAUGAACCGUGAGG
This 2896-nucleotide ribosomal RNA is filed under the name Salmonella enterica. RNAcentral's name for it is "bacterial LSU rRNA". It matches the Rfam family "Bacterial large subunit ribosomal RNA". The record is from RNAcentral. Lineage: Bacteria; Pseudomonadati; Pseudomonadota; Gammaproteobacteria; Enterobacterales; Enterobacteriaceae.